This is a long non-coding RNA of Condylostylus longicornis, 1082 nucleotides long. RefSeq lists it as uncharacterized. The record is from RefSeq and is a predicted model, not a curated record. Lineage: Eukaryota; Metazoa; Arthropoda; Insecta; Diptera; Dolichopodidae. The transcript is spliced from 4 exons.
GGAAAAUGAAUAAGAAUGAAAAAUUGCAAUCUAGAGUCUCAGAUGCAGAGUGCAAAAAAAGGAACAACAGACGAUGUAUCAGAUAAUGCUAUUUUUCCUAAAUUAGAGUAUCAAAUAGACUAUACUUAACAAAAUGAUAUGGAAAACGUUUCACCUCAAGAAGCAAAAAAUAUUUGCACUGAGCUUAAAUACAUACGGGAUUGGGAUGAAUUAAUACCAAAAUGGAAAAAAACUACAAAGUCCAAAAAUAAAAUAUGUUUCAGCAACAGGAAUCUGGAACAAAUUUUGGUGGAAUGACUAUUUAGAUACUUAAAAGCACCUGAGCUGAUUGAUAAUCUCUAUAUAUAAGGUUGAUAAGAUAGAAUUACUCACACUAUUCCGGCAUAAUAACUUUUAUUUUGAUUUAUGGAACAGUUUUUGUAAAGUUGCAGUGGAAAUUUUACAAUAAAGAUUAAAGAUGCUGCAAAUAAAACUUAUUAAAAAUAUUUAAAGAAAAAAUAGUAUGAUGGAUUCAGACAUGAUACAUCUUUGUAAUAUGAAGUUUCUAUUUGAAUUUUAUUACCGUCUACCAAGGUAAUCAAUGGAAAACGGACAAAAUAUACUAUUCAUGAUUCCCAAUGAUCAUUUACAUUACCAACAAUUUGGAAAGUCAAGUGAAUAGUGUCUUAAACGAAUUAACUGAUCAACAUUAUCAAAAUAAAUCGACUUUGCAACCAUUCAUUUUGAUUACCGGAGAAGAAUUUCGCUACCAAAAAUUCUAAAUUGUUCUGGCAGAUGCAAAAUUUCAAUUUAAUACUUAGAAACUAUUCAAUGUUGCUUCAAAUUAUUCUAUCGUAUUUUGGAAGGAAGUUUUUUUCGUUUUAAAUUAUUUAAGAAAUUGAACAUACGGAAUUAGCUCAUUAGCUUAUUUAGUUUAUAUAACUUUUUGCAUAAGGCUAAAAUAUUUAAAACACAAUAUUGUUUACAUUUAGAGUCAGUCAUUAAUUAUACAGAAUUAACAGAAUUAAAAAUAAGUUUAAAUUUUAUAACAAUUUUUUUUUAAAGGAUAGAUAUAAGCAAUAAUUAAAUUCAUUUUGGAAAGU